GGGACAGAGCAGCCAUGCUGUAAGCAGCUUAAGCAAGGUAUAAUCAUAAAUCAUCAGAUCAUGCCCAGAACUACUUAUCUGAACUCCAAAAGUAAUUCCAAAUUCAGGACAUUUCAAUAGCUUCAGUAAACUCCACAACCCUGCAUUCUAAUUCCACAUCCAGAAGAAGUCUUACAAACAAGAAGACCUCAGCAUUUGAAGAUUCAGAAUGCACCCCUUGGCCAGUCACCCAUGAGUGUCCCAGGGAAUCAACACAAAGGAUAGGAGGUCAUCUUCUUAUAAAGCAUUGGAAGAGAUCAUCUGUCUGAGCAGACUGUACUGAGGCAGUUCCUUCUGUUCUAUGCUAUAAAAUUUGUCUGCCCACAUUUGUUAUGUUGUACAGAUCAGGGUUAUGUCUUUGGUGAAUAAGAUGUUGAGUCAGAGCUUCAUCUGGUAUAAAUUUACACCUGCUGAGGAUCUGGUCCAUAUGUUUACCCUAAGGAGGGGGGUUCCAAUAUUAUAGAAAGGGGGAUUUAUUUUGCAU
Long non-coding RNA from Mauremys reevesii (Reeves's turtle), 523 nucleotides. RefSeq lists it as uncharacterized. The transcript has 3 exons. The record is from RefSeq and is a predicted model, not a curated record. Lineage: Eukaryota; Metazoa; Chordata; Testudines; Geoemydidae.